Molecule: ribosomal RNA, 468 nt
Filed under: uncultured bacterium
Lineage: Bacteria
Description: partial 16S ribosomal RNA
Rfam family: Bacterial small subunit ribosomal RNA
Source: RNAcentral
GACGAACGCUGGCGGCGUGCUUAGCACAUGCAAGUCGAAUGGAAAGGCCCUGCUUUUGUGGGGUGCUCGAGUGGCGAACGGGUGAGUAACACGUGAGUAACCUGCCCUUGACUUUGGGAUAACUUCAGGAAACUGGGGCUAAUACCGGAUAGGAGCUCCUGCUGCAUGGUGGGGGUUGGAAAGUUUCGGCGGUUGGGGAUGGACUCGCGGCUUAUCAGCUUGUUGGUGGGGUAGUGGCUUACCAAGGCUUUGACGGGUAGCCGGCCUGAGAGGGUGACCGGCCACAUUGGGACUGAGAUACGGCCCAGACUCCUACGGGAGGCAGCAGUGGGGAAUAUUGCACAAUGGGCGGAAGCCUGAUGCAGCAACGCCGCGUGCGGGAUGACGGCCUUCGGGUUGUAAACCGCUUUCGCCUGUGACGAAGCGUGAGUGACGGUAAUGGGUAAAGAAGCACCGGCUAACUACGUG